GUGCUCUUCUCUGGCAGCACACUAAAGCUGAAUGGAUACAGACGAGAUAGGCAUGGCCCCUGCACAAGGAUGACACGCAAAUUGGUGAAACAUACUAAUAGCCU
Erinaceus europaeus (western European hedgehog) is the source of this 104-nucleotide small nuclear RNA. Lineage: Eukaryota; Metazoa; Chordata; Mammalia; Eulipotyphla; Erinaceidae. The record is from Ensembl.